UUGAACGCUGGCGGUAGGCUUAACACAUGCAAGUCGUGCGAGAAAGUAUCUUCGGAUAUGAGUAGAGCGGCGGACGGGUGAGUAACGCGUAGGAAUCUACCUAGUAGAAGGGGGAUAGCCCGGGGAAACCCGGAUUAAUACCGUAUACCUCCUUCGGGAGAAAGAAGGCCUCUCUUUGAAGCUUUCGCUACUAGAUGAGCCUGCGUAAGAUUAGCUUGUUGGUGGGGUAAUGGCCUACCAAGGCAACGAUCAGUAGCUGGUCUGAGAGGAUGAUCAGCCACAUUGGGACUGAGACACGGCCCAAACUCCUACGGAAGGCAGCAGUGGGGAAUCUUGC
This 337-nucleotide ribosomal RNA is filed under the name uncultured Oceanospirillales bacterium. Its description in RNAcentral is "SSU rRNA". It matches the Rfam family "Bacterial small subunit ribosomal RNA", at positions 30 to 367 of the family's 1533-position model. Lineage: Bacteria; Pseudomonadati; Pseudomonadota; Gammaproteobacteria; Oceanospirillales. The record is from RNAcentral.